GGCUUGCUAAUGUAGAAAAAGGGAUCCUGCAGUUGUUGCAGAGAGCUGAAUAUGAGAAACUCUCUCCUGCUCUGCACAGUUGGAACCAGAAAAUCUUUGUUACAUAAUUUCCUUACACAAGCACAGAGAUUUCAUUCUGAACUGGAGGGAGGGUGGGGGUACAGCAUACCAACUGACCAGAAUUUACACAAGCAUCUGGACACUGCACCUCUGGAACCUGCAUAAAGAAUCCAGGCACACAUACACAUCCUGUACCCGUGCUGAAAAGCUGUGUUCUCUGCUGGAUUUCAAGUAAACAAAUAUCCAAAAUGCUGGAUUCAAAAAAACUGAAAACCCCUUUGAAAGGUGUACAUAUAAAAGUGGCAUCGGGGUUCUGUUUUAACAAAUAAAUAAUACCACUUACAACAAAUAAAUAAUACCCCCGAGAUCCAAUUCUAGACCAAAUGUAUGGCACGUCCUACAUUCUCACGUCGCGAACCACUGCGAAAUGUUUAAUACUGUGCAUUAAAUAAGUGCAUUAGAAUUUAAAAAAUCGGAGCCAGGAACGCGCGGCCAGUAGAUGUAUCUUAACUGCUACAUCUUUUGUAGCUAAGGUUUCAAAAUCCAUCCCGAAACGUCACAAACCUGAUGUUAAUCGUAGCACUGUGCAGAAUUCUCCUACAGUGCUUUCCAAAAUCCUCCUAUUCACAUUCCGAAUGAGUUUCCCCUCCCCCACACAAGAUUGUUCUGGCCAAACCGCAGCCCCCUGCGCACGCGCUCUAUGAGUGGUAUAAAGUCUAUCGGAUGUCUCCUUUCUUUCGGUGUCGUCUAUGGAGAUCGAAGCCGCUUUUGAAAAUGAACAAGGGUUACUGGCGUUCUCCGUCCCGAAGUUAUUUCGCAGUCCAAAGCACGCCGGAGAUUUUUUGUUUUGAGAAAACAAAAGCGUUGGUUGGCUCUUCAUGACAUCACUUGACCGUGAGAGGAGGGUGGGCUCUGAGCUGCGAGGGGAGAGCGGCGCAAGCGGAGAAGAACCAUCUUGCUUCAAACGAGGCGACGGCGCCAUUAGAGGGCAGGGUACAACAACCGUGCAAGAGCAGUGCAGAGCGUUUCUAUUGUUUAUGGAUUUUCUGAAUGUAUUCUGUAUGCGCAAGUAUAUUUCUUUGCAAACGGAGUAUCGCUUGUUGAAGUAACGCACACAUUUUUAUUAAUAUCUGUAGUGAGGAUAUGGUGGCCGUAUAGAAGAUGGCGGCGGAGUCAACCUUUGGUUAGUGUCAAGAACGCGCAGUUAGGGGUGGGACUGCGCGAUCCCGAGAGUAGCACAGCGGAAAGCCAGCAGAAGGGGGGCACUUCCUGUUUUGACGUUUCAGUGGCUAAAAGACAAAAAGCCAUUUAAAUCUUGGCGAGCCCUUAAAGGGUGCACUUUUCCUCGUUUUGGACUCAACAUUGUUUCCGUCUUUGCUCCAGACGUCACUCUUCAACAGUUCCGUAUGGUUUGGUAAUGAUUAGCAGUUGGGGAUGUGAUCCUAUUUUCUACCAGCCUUAAAUUGGCUUUCAUUAGCUAGAUGCUCGAGUAUUUGUAACGGGGCCAGACUGGAAUUAGUGAAGGAGUAACGGGAGUGAGCAAACUUAAAAUGUUGCGGGGUUUCUCGCAAAGUACUGCAUAUGACAGACAUUCAAAUCCUUUUUGCGUUAAAAGGAUAACCGGAAACGCUGAGCUAAUCUAUUAACGUUAGUUCAUUGAAUUUUGUUGUUAUUGUGUUAUUGAUAAUAGUAACUCUAGCUUGCUAUGUUGUUUCAUUUAAUGCACAAUUCUUGCGAUGUAUUAUAACUACUUUACGUUAAAUCGCGUUAUGUCUAGACAGCUUGGAAAGAUCACGAACGAGUUCAUUAGCUAAAGUUACUGCCCGGGUCCGCCAUGUUGUCGUCCGCUGCUUCUCGUCGUGUCAUUAGUAAAUGGCGAAUGCUUUUUUUUCUGUGCCACUUGGAUGUAGCCACUAGCUAACCCAGAGCUUGAGGUUCAUUUGUGAAACCUUGACAUGGGCGUGGCAUGGACGACAUUGCACAAUCAGCCAUAAUGUUUUAGUGCAUUCGUUUUAUUUUUGAAAUACUUUGGUCGAUUUCUCAAAUUGCGACGGAAUGUUGUGUAGAUAACUAUAGAAGCUGUAUACCCCAGUAAACAAGCGUCGAUUGUGCUGUUCUGUUAAAUCGUGCUAGUUUUAAAAUGACCUAGCUCGCCAAACAUUUUUUUUUUGUAUGUUUUUUCAGGGGCUACCUUGUCCGUAUGCAGUGGUCAGUUUUGCAUAGUACUGCCAUGGUUUCCAGGCAGCAAGUCAGAUUGUUUUUGUGUGCAGCAGUUAAGAGGAUUUUGUAGUAAAGUCUUGCAUAUGAUA
This is a long non-coding RNA of Anguilla rostrata (American eel), 2369 nucleotides long. RefSeq lists it as uncharacterized. NCBI's taxonomy places the organism in Eukaryota, Metazoa, Chordata, Actinopteri, Anguilliformes, Anguillidae. The transcript has 2 exons. The record is from RefSeq and is a predicted model, not a curated record.